GAUGAACGCUGGCGGCGUGCCUAAUACAUGCAAGUCGAGCGAACAGACGAGGAGCUUGCUCCUCUGACGUUAGCGGCGGACGGGUGAGUAACACGUGGAUAACCUACCUAUAAGACUGGGAUAACUUCGGGAAACCGGAGCUAAUACCGGAUAAUAUAUUGAACCGCAUGGUUCAAUAGUGAAAGACGGUUUUGCUGUCACUUAUAGAUGGAUCCGCGCCGCAUUAGCUAGUUGGUAAGGUAACGGCUUACCAAGGCAACGAUGCGUAGCCGACCUGAGAGGGUGAUCGGCCACACUGGAACUGAGACACGGUCCCGACUCCUAAGGGAGGCAGCAGUAGGGAAUCUUCCGCAAUGGGCGAAAGCCUGACGGAGCAACGCCGCGUGAGGGAAGAAGGUCUUCGGAUCGUAAAACUCUGUUAUUAGGGAAGAACAAAUGUGUAAGUAACUAUGCACGUCUUGACGGUACCUAAUCAGAAAGCCACGGCUAACUACGUG
Molecule: ribosomal RNA, 497 nt
Filed under: uncultured bacterium
Lineage: Bacteria
Description: partial 16S ribosomal RNA
Rfam family: Bacterial small subunit ribosomal RNA
Source: RNAcentral